This 301-nucleotide ribosomal RNA is filed under the name uncultured bacterium. Its description in RNAcentral is "partial 16S ribosomal RNA". It matches the Rfam family "Bacterial small subunit ribosomal RNA", at positions 509 to 807 of the family's 1533-position model. The record is from RNAcentral.
CAGUCGCCGCGGUAAUACGUAGGGUGCAAGCGUUAAUCGGAAUUACUGGGCGUAAAGCGUGCGCAGGCGGUUUGUUAAGACAGAUGUGAAAUCCCCGGGCUCAACCUGGGAACUGCAUUUGUGACUGGCAAGCUAGAGUGUGGCAGAGGGGGGUGGAAUUCCGCGUGUAGCAGUGAAAUGCGCAGAUAUGCGGAGGAACACCGAUGGCGAAGGCAGCCCCCUGGGCCAACACUGACGCUCAUGCACGAAAGCGUGGGGAGCAAACAGGAUUAGAUACCCCUGUAGUCCCUGUCUCUUAUAC